RNAcentral lists this ribosomal RNA (460 nucleotides) under uncultured bacterium. RNAcentral's name for it is "partial 16S ribosomal RNA". It matches the Rfam family "Bacterial small subunit ribosomal RNA", at positions 338 to 795 of the family's 1533-position model. The record is from RNAcentral.
CCUACGGGUGGCAGCAGUGAGGAAUAUUGGUCAAUGGACGAGAGUCUGAACCAGCCAAGCCGCGUGAAGGAAGACUGCCCUAUGGGUUGUAAACUUCUUUUAUAUGGGAAUAAAACAGGGUAUGCAUACCCUCUUGUAUGUACCAUAUGAAUAAGGAUCGGCUAACUCCGUGCCAGCAGCCGCGGUAAUACGGAGGAUGCGAGCGUUAUCCGGAUUUAUUGGGUUUAAAGGGUGCGUAGGCGGAUUGUUAAGUCAGUUGUGAAAGGUUGCGGCUCAACCGUAAAAUUGCAGUUGAAACUGGCAGUCUUGAGUACGGUAGAGGUGGGCGGAAUGCGUGGUGUAGCGGUGAAAUGCUUAGAUAUCACGAAGAACUCCGAUUGCGAAGGCAGCGCACUGGACUCCAACUGACGCUGAUGCUCGAAAGUGUGGGUAUCAAACAGGAUUAGAUACCCUGGGAGUC